Molecule: non-coding RNA, 72 nt
Organism: Ciona savignyi (Pacific transparent sea squirt)
Lineage: Eukaryota; Metazoa; Chordata; Ascidiacea; Phlebobranchia; Cionidae
Source: Rfam
UCCUCGUUAGUAUAGUGGUGAGUAACCCCGCCUGUCACGCGGGAGACCGGGGUUCGAUUCCCCGACGGGGAG